This 524-nucleotide ribosomal RNA is filed under the name Aecidium sp. WM 3523. RNAcentral describes it as "eukaryotic LSU rRNA". It matches the Rfam family "Eukaryotic large subunit ribosomal RNA", at positions 72 to 601 of the family's 3401-position model. Lineage: Eukaryota; Fungi; Basidiomycota; Pucciniomycetes; Pucciniales. The record is from RNAcentral.
GGAUUCCCCCAGUAAUGGCGAAUGAAGAGGGAAAAGCCCAAAUUUGUAAUCUGGCUCUUUCAGAGUCUGAGUUGUAAUUUUGAGAACUGUUUUCAGUGYUGGACCAUGUAUAAGUCUGUUGAAAAGCAGCAUCAUAGAAGGUGAUAAUCCUGUUCAUGAUAUGGACUACCAGUGCAAUAUGAUACAGUUUCUAAGAGUCGAGUUGUUUGGGAAUGCAGCUCAAAGUGGGUGGUAAAUUCCAUCUAAGGCUAAAUAUAGGUAAGAGACCGAUAGCAAACAAGUACCGUGAGGGAAAGAUGAAAAGAACUUUGGAAAGAGAGUUAACAGUACGUGAAAUUGUUAAAAGGGAAACAAUUGAAGUUAGACUUGUUAUUAUUAGUUCAACCUUUUUCAAAGGAGUAUUCUAAUGAUUAACAGACCAACAUCAAUUUUUGAGUGUUGGAUAAGGGUUUAAGGAAAUGUAGCAGUCUCUGACUGUGUUAUAGACCUGAGCUUUGAUACAAUGCUUAAGAUUGAGGAAUGCA